CUGAAAUAUAAUUUUCGGUAUAUUUUAUGUUGCUGUAACAUAUAUCCUUCACAUUGAUUUAUUUACUUAAAUUUAGCCUUCAUAACUGUUAUUUGCGGUCUCUGCCUGCGACCCGUCCGGUGGCCUCAUCUAGGCCCCAUUUGAGCCACCUCAACCUCAUUGGAUACGUCGGAGAGUCACCUUACAAUGCUUAAGAUCUGCUGUGAAAUCUUCUUCGUUGGUGUUCGGAGAAGACCAAGCAUAAUUGCUUGUAUGCUUACGAUUUACAGUUUAGUUUACUCUCUCGCGUUAAAGCUUGCGCUCUUGCGUUGAUCUGAGC
This 319-nucleotide long non-coding RNA is filed under the name Drosophila guanche. The record is from RNAcentral. Lineage: Eukaryota; Metazoa; Arthropoda; Insecta; Diptera; Drosophilidae.